This 204-nucleotide long non-coding RNA is filed under the name Elaeis guineensis (African oil palm). Its description in RNAcentral is "long non-coding RNA (EGUI_LNC070704)". Lineage: Eukaryota; Viridiplantae; Streptophyta; Magnoliopsida; Arecales; Arecaceae. The record is from RNAcentral.
GCCAGUGCGAGAGAGCAUGCCCUUUCUCUAACGCCAAUCUGUUGACAUAAAAUUUUGUCUCAGAUUGGAGGUGCUGGAGCGAGGCAAUGUCCAAUGGGUCGAUGACGGUCGGACCUACAAAAAAAGAUCUCACCGAAGGUGGCUCCGGCGAAGAUCCUCCGACGCUCAAGUUAGAUUCAUGCGCAACAGAUAGGAAAGAGCAUU